UCUUUGUGCUGUUUCGGGAACGUUCUUUCGGUAAAAAGAUCUCUAAAAGGUAAAAAUGGGAAAGAAAGCUCCGUCGGCUGUUCCAAUUCGGGGAGUCCAAGGUGGAAGAAUAGGAUCUUCUUAGGGUUAAAGGAGAGGAUAGGUUAAGAAAUGAGGGGGGAAAAAUUAGGGAUGAGGGAAGACUGAGGCAAUCGUUGCUGAAAGUCAGUAUUGUAUUGGUGAACUGGAUUUUUUUCGUAAGAGAGAAAAAUCUGAUACUCUUGAUUGUUGAUGAAAUAGGGGAUACUUCUGUGGUUGAAAUUCAGAAUUGUCUAGAAGGUUGAGUAUGCUGAAUGCAUACGUUGUUGUGUUAAUCUGAUUAUAUGGAUAGAGGAUAUCUGCCAACAGUUUAAACAGGUAUUGGGAGUUGACAAAUUGGGAGAUUGUUUAGGGUUUCUAUGAUAAUUGAGGACCUACCGACAGGGAUAAGAAGAAUAUCAGCGAGCGGCCAAGGGACAUCAGUGCAGAUUGGAGCAUAGCCUCACAAACUGUAAGCGGGGUUGAAUUGGAACUUCUUGAGCAUUCAAAAGGGCUUGCUAAGACACUAGCGAUAGAUGUUUCACAAUAAGUCAGAAGGAUAGAUUGAGGAUCACAGCUUAUCAAAGUUCACUGUCUAGGAUUAAAGUAAUUAACGAUAAAGAUAAAAUAAAAAACAUAAAAUAAAUAAAAUAAAAUAAAAAUAACAAAAGAGAUUGAAGUUAUAUAGGGUCUUUAGGCGUUUUAUAUUGGAAUUAAGCUUUUAUAUUGCAAUCCGAUAUAGAUCGUAUUUGGGUAGUGAAGAACACGAUAGACUGCUUGAGUACUACCGAAACACCAUACUACUUCCUACAACCAGACGCCCGGCGCAUUCUCAAGCAAGAUAGCAUGUAAUACGACAUAAGUGGUGAACCCGGCGUGGAAGCUUGAGGUGGAAGGUAUUGGACUUCGUUUGAUUUUAUUUUUAUUUUUAUGGAUAAUGAAAAUAAAAAUUUUGAAGGAUCUUUGGGAAGAGUUUCUGGUGGGGGUUUUUCUAAAGGACAAGGUAUGCACAUGGAUCCGUCUAUUGCUAGUAUGUUUCAAGCCUUCUCAUUAUCAAUGCAACAACAGCAAAGCAAUGAUCGAAAAGAAGCUUUGGCAACCAAAGCAUUGCAAGCAGUAGUCAAUAAAAUUGAUCAAUUUGAUGGAAGGAAUAUUUCAAGGUAUUUAAGAUGUUAUGUUCGUGAAAUGAAAUUAAAUCGGGUUUCUGAGAAGAAAAUGGUUGAAUUAUUUGGACUUGCCACGAUAUCGGAGAUAAGAGACUAUAUUACAUCAAUUACGGAUCGUUAUGGAAAUUCAUGGCAGGUUUUUUCACAUGCAUUGAAAGACGAAUAUUUCUUGGAAGAUGUUGAUUGCGUUACUAAGAAGCUGUUUCUGAAAUGGAUUGAACGGCCUAAUAAGAAUUUGCAAGCAACAGAGCUACUAAGGAAAUUUGAGAGGCAGUACUCUCAAUUAUCAAAGGUAGAAAAAUUGACAUUGGAGUCGAACAAAGUUGAUCUAUUUCUUCAAGCUGCUGAUGGAGAAUUGCAAGGAAAAUUAGAACUCCUUCUUGAAGACAAAGAAGAAGAUGAAGGAUUGACAAUAAAGUAGAAGAACGUUAAAGAUGCGGUGGGGUUGCUUACAAAAAGAGAAAGGAGGAAGGAUAGGAGCAAUAUUCCGAAAAUAAUAUAAGCACCCAAAGCUCUAAUACGUACAAUACCACCAACAAUGCCUACAGUUCAACCUUCUACAUCCUUAUCAAAGAAAGCAGAUAUGGGGAUGGAAGAAAUUAUACGAGGAAUGUGAGAUCUUCAAAUCAAAUUAGCAAGACUUGAAGAGAAUACUUCUACAAACAAUUUGAAGAAUGUUUCAAAACAAGGAUAUGUACAAAGAUGCAUUUGGUGUGAUGACGCUUCACUUACUAGGAAAGAUUGCAAUGAAUUUAAUAAUAUGAUACGGCAAGGAAUUAUUUGCUGGAAAGAUGGGAAGAUAGCAUUAAAAGAUAGGGAAGAUCUUCUUCAAACCAAUUUUGGCAAGGGAGGAAUGAGAGCAUUGGUUCAAGAUUACUUAAAAGAACAUGAAACAGCAGCACGAGAAAGUGCAAGUUAUGGUGCUAGAGUAGAUGAUGACCUUGGUGGAAGUAGAGAAAUUAGUAAGUUUUGGGCUUCUGCCAUUUGUACAAUGCAAGAAGGGAAAUUACCUCGAGAAGUAUUAUUGAGGACUACAGCUACAAUGCAAGGUGCAACAGGUUGAGAGGAUCCUAUUGAGUCUCUUUCAGUUCAAGCAUAUAAUGCUAAGAGCCAACAUGAAGCUUUGAUGGAAGAAAAGAGAUGAGGAAAUUUUGAUGAUACGAGAGAAGGAAAUUCUUCUAAGAGGCAAAUUCGAGGAGACAAGGCUUGAAAGGCAGCUUUACAAGAAUUGUCUGUAAAAGAUACCUCAAUAUCAUUGAAAGAAAAAACAAGGGAGACAAAAGAUAAGAGCAAAUCAAUUGCUUAUAAGCUACUUUCUGACAUUGAAGCGGCAACAAAUUUGAAAGGAGUAUUGAAAGAACGUAUAUUAAAUGCUAAGGUAGAAUUCACAUUGAAACAAGUUUUAAAAAUUGCAAAGAAAGAGUUUCAUGAUAUUAUCAUUGAGAGCAUUAAAUGAAAGAAGCAAUUAAUGGAUGGAACUAGAAUGAAUCAUGCUAUUGAUGCAAGAAUAUAUAAAGAUGAAGAAGAGGUUGAUAUUGGUUACAAGCAACCAACAAAUGAAAAGAAUGGGUAUAAUCAACGAGUACAUUUUGAAGAUUAUAGUGAUAAGGAAAUAGAAACUUUAAGCUAUUAUACUCGAAAGCAUUGGGCAAGGGCAAAUACGGAGAUAUUGGUGAAAGUAGGAGAUAUAGAAGAACCAAUUGUUGCUUUAGUCGACUAUGAUUCUGAAAUAAAUCUUAUGUCUAAAGAUCUUUAUAAGAAGCAAAAAUGGCCAAUUGAUAUGGAACAUGGAUGGGCAAUACGAGGAGCAAAUAACACACGGGGCAAAUUAUAUGGAGCUUGUCUAGAUGUCAAAAUUUGGAUUGAGGAUGUUGCGACGGAGCAACAUUUCUUUGUUCAAGAUACAAUGUCUUAUCAGUUGAUUUUAGGACAACCUUAUAUUAUGGCAAUACGGAUGGAAACAAAAGUACUUGACGAUGGUUCUGCUUAUACAAGGGUACGUAGCGAAGAUGGGAGAAAAGUUGUACAAUUUCUAACAGUACCUCCUAAUCAUGAACGAAAUCGAGAUAGGUAGAGGGAGAAACCAUUGCCAAAGAUUGUUGAAGGAUUUAAGGAUUUUGGGGAGGUACCACUAUAAAGCGAGAUUAUGGAGGUAUAAAACAAGAGGUACUCUCGCGAGAUGAAGGUACCUUUGAUGCAAGUUUUAUUGGUAUUUGUAAUCGUCGUUUGACUCGGACUCAAAACACUAAGAUAUUUGAUGAGUAUAGGUGGGUUCGAUCUCGGGGAAAGACUCGUUGUAUGAAUUGGAUAUGUUAUGUCACAAUUGAUUAUCUAUUAAUUAUCUAAAACUUCCAAAGUUCUCUUCCUCAUCUUAAUUCAAUCCCUUCACAAUCUCUACAAUCGUUCACUGCCCUGCAGCUACUCAAUAUCACUAACAUUCCUGACAUCUACAGGAUGCUUAAUCUCUUUCCACAGUACUUCAAUUCUCAAUUCUUUUACUUUUACUCAAUCUUCCAGUGCUACUAACACAAUGCAAUAAUCUCUAUUAUCACAAUCACACUUUCUUUCUCCAACUUAAUUAAUUCGAAUUCAUAAUUUUUAAUAUCUCAAUCACAGUUUCAGCAAUCCUUUUCUUAAAUCCAAUACUAAAAAAAAACACAAAAGCAAAGAAAACAAAAGGGUAGCUCCAAGCUUUACCCUGGCUCACGACUAUCACAGUCUGGCCCCUAUUCCUUCUUCCUCAACCUCUUUAUCCUACCAAAAUAUGAAUCGUCAUUCAGCAGAUUCCAUAGGUUGUGAAACUUUGGCUUUUUAACCACAUAUGUUCCUAAUUUCUUACUAUUAACAACUAAUCGAACUAACCAUUCAUCUAAAUCCCAACAUUACUACUAUUUAACCGAUAACGAACCUGAAAAGUCAUUUAUACAUUCUACAUAACUCCACUCCUUACUGUGCAGUGUCCUCACAAACCACCUCGUACUACGUUUUACAAUAUCACCACAUCAUUGGCUUCCUCCAAUGUCUGAACCUCUGGUCCGCCUUGGUCCAUUUCAUCAUUUCCAUAAGUGAGAUUGGUUUCGAUUUCUUGAGCUUCUUCUUCAACUCCCUCUCCCACCUAUUCUCCGUUCAAUAAAGCUGUCAAGUCUUCGUUAAGUGCUCCCAAUUUUGGAACCUGAGACUCCAAAAGCACAAUUUGGGUGUCUCGCUCUUUCAGCUGCUCCUCCAGGGCAUGCACUUGUUUCUCUAAUUCCCGUAAAGAUGUACUUGCUGGAUUGACCCCUCCUUGCUGCGUGGUAACUGUAAUCAUUUCUGCCUCCAAUUCAGCAAUCCUUCUCUUCAAUUGCUCAUUCUCCGUCUUCGAGCUCUCCGAUUGUCUCUGAAAAUCGUCCUCCAAUUUGGAUCUCCUGGCUUCCAAUUCCGCCACCCUAUUCUUCUCCUCCUGGUAUUGGUUCCGCAACUCCAUACACUCCUGCUUGGUAAGCUCCAUCAGACUCUUUGCCAACUUGUUCUCCUUGGCCCAUUCCGCUUGGGUCUCCUUGAAUUGGUGCUCUAAUCUUGAAUAUUUGAGAGCGUCCGUUACUGAAGCACGUUGUAAAUCUCUUAUCUUCUUCUUCUGAUCCUCAAUGAUCUUGUCCUUCUCCUCUAGUACCUGUCUAAGGCUAAACUCAUUGUCCAUUUUCUCAACGGCCAUCUGUAAUUGAGUAAUUUGUGCUGAGAUUAACUCCUUGAGUUCUCUUGCCUGCUGGUCAGCUCUCGAUAAACCUACCCGUUGAUAAUACUCUACCAGUACUAGUGGAGUGACGGCCAUAUUAAUACUCGGAUGACCCAAUUCUCUAGAUGACGAGCUGACAUUGGUCCGUUCGUAAUUUCUAGCUUGGCUGCACUCUACUAUCGCCGCUUCCUCAACUAAUUUUGAUGGCAAUGGCAUUGACUCUACUCUUGUCUCUGUUGCUACAGCGUCUAGUCUCUCCACCAUUGAAGGUUGCUUCAGUUGAUAUCUAAUUGCUUUACACACGUAGUUAGAGCAUAAUAUCGUGGUAACCUUCCCUGUUCUUCUUUUCACGUCUAAUUCCGCAUGGAUUCUGGUCGCAACAUACGCUGCCCAGUUGAAGACCAUCCCCUCCAGCGUCGCAAUUGCUGAAAACGAUAACCUCCUUGCCAUAUACGUCGAAUGUCGGUUCAGCCUUAAUCGCUUCUGCACAAACUGCAUCCAUUCUCCCAGCUCCAACGUAAGCGCAUCCACUGUCUUCCACCCUUGAUUUUUCUCAAACGCUUCGUUUUCCGACUUGAAGUACUUGCUUGGAACAAAAUCAGACUCCAAGUCUCCCGAUAUCGGUAGCUCACCCAUGGGAAGAUAUAGAACCUUGUUCAACGUCACCUCAUCUAUACCAAUAAUUCUCCCAUGAACCACACUAGACCCGUCUUCCGGAUCAUAAUUCGUCACAUAUUCCGUUAACAAUGCUAUAUCUAUUGGUGGUAGCCUCUGCGAAAACUUCACAAACCCAUACAUCUGUGCCGUGCAAAACUCUCUCUGUCUCCUUUGCGACCAAAAAAUGUCCAUAGCGACCGGCUCCAUGCUGAUCACUAUCACGCACUCCAUUGGUGGCAAUGAUCCCUUUGUCUUGAUAUUACGCUGUCGCUCCUCUCUCGUAGCUGUCCUCUUCUUACGCUCAAUCACCAUCUUCGCUACUCAUGAUAAUCCUCUAAAACCUAUACUUAGCAACGUGAAUCAAGAAAUUACAAUGUAAACAAUGCCAGCCAAGAGUCCCACUCCUAACUUCUACCCUGGUUCUCCUCUUGAUAUGUCUUAACCUAACAGGCCUGUAACAACCUAUCCUAUUAGUGUCUUCCUGACGGCUCACCUUCACUCAACCCGUCCAUAAUCUCAUCAUCGCACGCUCUUCCCUUCUCAUCACAACUCUUGCGAUGUCACUUCAAUACUAAAUUGGCUUUUUCUCUCCCCCCCCACCGAUAUAAAACCCGUCCCGGAUUUAUGUAGUAUACAGACGUAGCCGAUUCCCAUUUAUACGCGUGGUAAAUUUAGCACCCAUAAAGUCUUCCAAUUGGACUGAGCCAUUGGGAAAACCCUCAAUGACUCUGUACGACCCAUGCCACCGAAUAUGAAAUUUUCCUGAAAAAUUUUUAAAACGACUGUCAUAAAGCAGUACCAAAUCAUUGGGCAUAAAAAAUUUUGGUUUUAAUUUACUAUCAUAAUAACUUUUCCGUCGCCUUUGAGUGGCCUCCUGUCUCAAUAGGGCAUUGGUUCGAGUUUCAUCCAACUGCUCCAAUUGUACGAAACAAACUUGUAACGACUCAGAAUCCCCCAAUCGUUCCUCCAAUGCAAUGCGCAAACUUUGAACUUCGAAUUCGAUAGGUAAUAUUGCUUCCUGACCAUAAACUAAUUGAAAGGGUGUGACAUUAGUCGUAACUUUAUAUGCAGUACGGUAUGCCCACAAAGCGGCAAACAAUUUAGUGUCCCAAUUCGUGCCUGCACCAGAUAUUGUCUUGGUGAUAAUUGUACAUAAUAUGCCGUUGGUCUUUUCUGUUUGGCCAUUUGCUCUAGGAUGAUAUGGUGUCGUCUUGCGGUGUUUAAUCUCAUAUUUAGCAGUCAAUGCUUCAAUUGUAGUAUUAAUGAAAUGGAUUCCUCGAUCACUGACCAAUUCUUUUGGACAGCCAAACCGUGUAAUAAUAUUUUCAUAUAAGAAUGUGGCUACAUCACUAGCACUAUCAAAUUUUGUUGCCUUCGCUUUCGCCCAUUUGGUAACAUAGUCUGUGGCAACCAAUAUAUACUAUUUUUGUCCAUGGCGAGAGGCAGAUGCAAUUGGGCCCACGAAAUCAAUACCCCAUUUUUUAAAAGGUGCCUGUGCCAGAAUUGGAACUAAUGGCAUCGCGGAUGUACCUGUAGGACGACCAAUUUGCUGGCACGGGUCACAACGACGUGCAAACUGGUGAGCAUCUGCAAACAUUGUCGGCCACCAAUAUCCCGCCUGUAAAACUUUGCGUGCUGUGUUGUCGCCUGCAAAAUGUCCCCCACAACUAUCCAAAUGACAUCCUUCCAAUAUAGUGCAUGCUUCAUUCUGAUAAAUGCAACGGCGUAAAAUUCUGUCUUUCCCUUGUUUAUAUAAAGUUUCUCCAAUCAUAGUAUAAGGUGCGCUUUUCAAAACCAAUCUUCUCUUAAGCUUCUCCGUAAAAUGGAAAGGAAAAGUUUGAAAAGUCAAAUACUGUAUCAAUUCGCUAUAUUCCGCCGUAAUUAGGUCGACAAGAAAUAACUCAGCGUCAGGUAAUGCAUUAGGAAUGGGUUCAUUUCUCAAUAUAUUGGACAGUCGCGAUAGAUGGUCCGCAUUGGCAUGCAACUUCCCAGGCCGUACAUUAAUAGUAAAAUCAAAUUCUUGUAAAAGCAAUAUCCAUCUUGCGAUGCGGCCACUCAACUGGGACUUGUUAAUCAUAUAUUUUAAAGUGUCAUGAUCCACGAGGAAGACAAAUUUAUAUCCAAGAAGAUAAUGCCAAAACUUUUGGACAGAAUAAAUCAUUUUCAAAGCCUCUCGCUCAGUUGUAGUGUAAUUCCGUUCGGCAGCCACCAACUGACGGCUUGCAUAAUAAAUAGGAUGAUCGUGGCCCUUGUCAUCCUUCUGGCUCAAUACCGAACCAAUCGCAACAUUAGAGGCAUCAACAUAAACCUCAAAAGAUUUUGUCCAACAAGGGGCAACCAAUAUUGGUGCAGAAAUCAAUUUUUGUUUUAAUGUUUCAAACGCAACUGUACAUUCCUUGGUCCAAAUUGGUUCGAGAUUGUCCAGUAGUUGUCAAUGGAAUACAGAUAACAGCAAAUAGAUAAAUAAAAUGUCGAUAAUAGCUAACAUGCCCAAUAAAGGUGCGAACACCUGUCACUGUAUCGGGUAUUUGGAGUUCUAGUAUAAUUUUUAUUUUAUCCGGAUCGGAGGCGAUCCUUAUUUUCGAUACGAUAUGACCCAAUAAUUUUCCUGAGGGUACCCCAAAUUUAUAUUUUUCUGAAUUCAAAGAAAUUCCAAAUUUAGCACAUUUGCCUAAGCACCGACCCAAUUUGUCUAAGUGUUCUUCUCUGGUGCUGAAUGUGCAGAAAUCAUCUAAAAAGAUUUCCAUUGAAAUCCGUAGCUCAUCUUGGAAUGCUUGCAUCAUCACCCUCUGAAAUGUAGCUCGCGCAUUACAAAGUCCGAAAGGCAUGACCUUAUAAGCAAAAGUUCCCCAAUCCGUAGUAAACGUAGUCUUUAAUUGAUCCUCCUUUGCAAUUUGUACGUGAUUAUAUCUGGAAAAACCAUCAAGAAACGAAUAACAUUCGUGGCCUGCUACUGCGUCUAAGAUACUAUCCGUAAAUGAUAAAGGAAAGUAAUCCUUCUUUGUAGCAGCAUUCAACUUUCAAAAAUCUUGGCAAAUUCGGACUUUCCCGUUCUUCUUGGGAACCAUAACUAUCGACGAAACCCAUUCACUAUGUGGUACAAGAUAUAUAAAUCCCACCUCCAGAAGCUUAUCCAAUUCUUCCUUUACCAUCAACGAAUAUUUAGGAUUCAGUCGAUGUUGCCUUUGUCGUACUGGUGUAGCCGUGUCCUCCAAUUUUAUUCAAUGCUCACAAACUUCAGCUGGAAUAUCCUUCAAAUCUUUAUAAGACUAAGCAAAAGCUGAUUUAUGUUUUAUAAAAUAAUCUGUCCAAAGCUCUUUAGUUUUACCCGUUAUACCAUCAUAAAUUUGAAUCAAUUUGGGAUUAUCAUUUGUGCCUAGAUUUAUUGAUUGACACUUUGGUCCAUUAAGAGCUUCAGCAGUAAUCUUUUGCUCUGUUUCGGGAUCUUUCAUAAACUCCGACAAAUUGGAGCUUUCCAAUUCGGGAUCUAUAGCACCAACUUGAUUAACAUCUCUUCGCUGCAUCCAGUGUGCAAUCAUAUGAUCUGAAUCAUCAAUAACGUCUGGACGAACAAAAUAUUCUCCUGGUCCUCCACAAUGGUAAAUAUUCCUAUUUUGUACUGUAACUUCUCGUGCCUCGACAGCCUUUGAUUUUGAAACAACCAGUUUUUCUUCCAUAUACUCCUGUUCGCAGUCCGAUGUAUAUACUGGACUGGUAAUUUGAGUUUCUCCAUGAUACUGGACAGGAUACAUUUGGAGCACUAUUUUAUCCUUAUACUUUCCAAUUGUUAGCGUUCCACGACCCCAAUCGUUUCGAGCUUCAGCUUGAUAUAGCCACGGUCGACCCAACAAAAUUACAUAUGACAAUACUAGGCUUUGCAAUCGAAAUAUAAUAUAAUCAAUUGUGUAUGUAAUCCCCGCAACAACUGUAUCAAUUCCUCAUAAAGUACCCAUAGGUCGGACUCGACUUGAAUCUGCCAUUCACAAAACAACCGUAGUUGGCAUUAAUUGGUCCAAUCCCAAUUCUUCCAUUGUAUCCACAUUCAUGAGGUUAACGCUAGCCCCGCCAUCCACUUGUACACCCUGAACUAAUACUCCAUCAAUUGAUACAUCAAUAGUCGGCGCGCUUGGAUCCGGAUUCAAACUUACUUCAUGAAUUUCUUUUUGACGAGUUCUUCGUCGAAUCAAAGAAGAGUUUAAGGUGUUACGACAUUCUGGUGCUACUGCCAAUAAUUGCUUUAUUGUGAUUGUUGGUUGAAUUGAACCUAAAUCCUUCAGAAUAUCAUAGGGUUCCAUAUUGGUCAUGAUUCCCAAAAUCUUUUUUUUCUUACGGAUUUCAGAUCCCGGUCCCCGUAUAUUGGUACUUCCAAUAUCAGGAAUUGGUACUUCCUCGAUUUUUGGUUGCAACUGCUCCUUGAAAAUUGGAUCCUUUAACUGGUGUGACUGUCCACCGUAUUGGUGUAAUAUUGGUACUUAUGAAAUUGGUAGACGCACCAAUAUAUUGGUCAAAUUGGGUUAUGACGGUGAUGCUUCAUCCAAUAAUGGAGCAGAUUUUGGUAUUGGUCUGUUGACCGGGGAUGGUAUCGAUUUCUCCAAUAUUUGAAUUGGUUCUUUGCCUUUUUGCUAAUUUCUUGUCAAUACUGCGUGAAUCGCUUCCACCCGAUGUACCGGUGAUUCCUGUGGUUUGUUUGUUUCUUCUAUAAUUUGCACUGUUGAUGUCAUGUGCUGGUCCCUACUAUUUGGAUUAAAAGGCACAUUACAUUGGUAGUGGUAAUGACCAGAUUGCUUAUAAUUUGCGUAAAGAGGUGCGUAUUCUUCGACAAAUCUUGGGUUGUUGCAAUCCUUUACAUAAUGACCCAAUUGGCGCCAUCGAAAACAACGAACUGGUUUUCUUCCUAUCCCGUCAGGUACAUUGGGAGUUUCCAUCGAGAUAUACCUUCCAGGUCGGUUUCAUGUUGGUGCAGUGAAGGAUCCAAGUUGACUAGUUGUCGCCAUUGCUGAAUUGGUCUGUUGUAUUGGCAUCGAUGGUUGAUUUCCCAUUUGAUUUUGGCCACCAUUCUGCAUAUUGGUCCCGUAGAGCUGAUUAUAGUUAGGAUUUUGGAAAUUUCCGAAACCACGAUUCACUCUAUUAUUUCUAUUUCCAUUCCAUCCACCCAUAUUUCCUGUUUGCACUUGAUUUACAUCCCAUACAGUUGGUUGUAUCAUUGUUUGUUGUCUUGGUAAGUACCAACAAUUGGCAGUGUUAUGCUUUCCUCCACAAUACAUACACUGUCCCAUCUUCUGAUGAGGCGAGGGGCAUUCCGUAUCAAAGUGUCCCUGUCCUUUACAGUUGUUACACCAUACAUUAGGUCUCAUAUUAGAAUGUUUAUGCCUUUUCUCUUUAUCUUUAGUCAUAUGCACGGCUAAUUCUUCCAUUUUCUUCGUUAGAUUUAACAAUAGAGCUUCGUUAGAAUCGUUAAUUGUUGCAUUCAUUGGUACUUCAGGUUGUCUAUAUGCCAUCGGCGAAGGAUAAGUUGCCACGGGUGGUAUCACUUGCAAAGGAGUGGCAUUAACUACUCCUUGAGAAUUGGGAUUUCCCAUACUAGGCGCAAUCAUUCGUGGGUAGCUCCCUAUCAUCGUAUUGGUCAUUGGAACUUGAUUUCCUACACUAGGAAUCAUUGUGGUUCCCACCAUCAACAGUUGAUCAUAAUGGCACUCCUCCCACAUCUUUGCACGUGCUAAGGAGGCAGCUACCGUAACUGGUUGAGACUCCUUAACAAACAUCUUCAAUUCUGGGGGAUGCAACUCAUUCACUAUUAUUGACAAUAUAAACGCAUCUGGUAUUUGAUUGUUUGGCCAUUUACGUAAUAUAUCUGCAACUCGGCCAUAAUACGACUGCAUCGAUUCUCCCACAAACAUUUUACUGUUCAGCAAAUUUUCUCGAAGACGAUCUUCUAAUCCUAUUGAUCAAAAAUGAGUUAAGAAAGCAUUUUUUAAUGCUUCCCAAUUAGGAAAUUGUCCCACUGGUUGUCAAAUAUACCAUUCAAAUGCUGUAUCUUUUAAAGUCGCUGGCAGCCAUCGCAGCCAGACAUCUUCAGUUCUGCCAUUAUCGGCUACACACGCUGUCAAAAAUUGGGACAGGUGUUGAUCGGGAUCACAACCCGGCCAUCCAUUAAACGUGGGUAAUAGAGCCACGCUGGUGGUGCGAUCUCCAAUUGCUCCCAUCUGUACCGCUUUUGGCUUUGCGGGUGUUUCUUCUGCCAUUGGUGCUUGCGCUGGUCUUCUUGCUAUAUUAAUAUGAAUUCUUCUUUUUGUUCCAAUUUGAUAUUUGCUCACUCUUCUUUCUUGUAAACUAUCGCUAUUAUUCAAUUCUUUUGUACUUAAACUUCUUAUAAUUACUGAACUUGACUCUGACGCUUCGUUACUCGCGGUAUCCCCUACAAGCGCUCGCAGUAAUUUCUCCAAUGGUAUAUAAUGGUGUAAUAUUGUACUUCUUUCAGAACUUGAAUAUGCUCGAAUACUCGCACAUGCAUGCAGCCACGGCUUUAUCCAACUCUAUCGAUGUUUCUUACGUUGAAUCCCUUCUUGUUGUUGUCGUAAUAAAUUUCUGAAAUAAAAUUGCUCCUGUCUUUCCUUUACUUGUUGAUUCCUUCUGUAAUUAACAUAGUCGUAAUCACCGCUCUUACUCCUUCUAUCUCGUCUUUUGUACCAUCAAUUCUUUAACAUUUCAUACUGUUCUCAAUCCCCGACAGCGGCGCCAAAAAUGUAAUCGUCGUUUGACUCGGACUCAAAACACUAAGAUAUUUGAUGAGUAUAGGUGGGUUCGAUCUCGGGGAAAGACUUGUUGUAUGAAUUGGAUAUGUUAUGUCACAAUUGAUUAUCUAUUAAUUAUCUAAAACUUUCAAAGUUCUCUUCCUCAUCUCAAUUCAAUCCCUUCACAAUCUCUACAAUCGUUCACUGCCCUGCAGCUACUCAAUAUCACUAACAUUCCUGACAUCUACAAGAUGCUUAAUCUCUUUCCACAGUACUUCAAUUCUCAAUUCCUUUACUUUUACUCAAUCUUCCAGUGCUACUAACACAAUGCAAUAAUCUCUAUUAUCACAAUCACACUUUCUUUCUCCAACUUAAUUAAUUCGAAUUCAUAAUUUUCAAUAUCUCAAUCACAGUUUCAGCAAUCCUUUUCUUAAAUCCAAUACUAAAGAAAAACACAAAAACAAAGAAAACAAAAAGGUAGCUCCAAGCUUUACCCUGGCUCACGACUAUCACAGUCUGGCCCCUAUUCCUUCUUCCUCAACCUCUUUAUCCUUCCAAAAUAUGAAUCGUCAUUCAGCAGAUUCCAUAGGUUGUGAAACUUUGGCUUUUUAACCGCAUAUGUUCCUAACUUCCUACUAUUAACAACUAAUCAAACUAACCAUUCAUCUAAAUCCCAACAUUACUACUAUUUAACCGAUAACGAACCAGAAAAAUCAUUUAUACAUUCUACAGUAUUUUGGAGAAUGGAAAUAUUAUGUAUAAGAAAGUUGAUGAUUUUAAAAGAAAAGAAAGAAAAAGAUUAUAUAAUAUUGAAGGAGAAUUAUGCAAGUUAGGUACAUUACAAGAUGAUGAGAGGAUUUUAGGUGUUUAUGAAGAAAAUGGACUGGAAGGUUCAUUGGAAUUGAUUACAUCUAUUGGGUUAGGGAAUAAUGAUAAGAUUGUUAAGAUUCAUUCAAGAGAGGUUUAUACCAUACUUGAAUCUUUUCAAGCACCAAAAGUCACAGUAGAGACGAGAUAUAAAACGGCAGAUAAGAAAGUAAAGCCUGUUACCGGACCAUUAUCAGAAGAUUCUAAGAAACAAAUGGGAGAAGCAUCAAAAGAAGCAAGUUUAAGAGAUCCAAUGAGUAUUGAACAUCAGUUUACUAAAGAGACUUUUGAAGAAUUGAAGAUUGGUUCUGAUGGUUCUUUAUUGUCGGAAGAAAUUACUUACUUCAAAAAGAUGUUGGCUAAACAAGAUAGAUCAUUUGCCUUCAAAUCUUAUGAAAUUGGGUGUGUGGAUCCGAAUAUUAUAACACCUAUGGUUAUUUUCACUGUACUGCAUGUACCUUGGAAUCUAAGACCGAUUCCACUACCAAAGACAUAUUUACCUAAAUUGGUGGAACUAUUAAAAGAAAAGAUGAAGAUAAAAAUAUUGGAACCCUCAUUUGCGCCGUAUUCUAGUCAAUGGUUUAUGGUACCUAAGAAGAAUGGGUCACUACGGUUUAUUCAAGAUAUGCAACCUGUGAAUGCAGUAACAGUCAGGAAUACAGGAAUUUGACCUAUUGUGAAUGAAUUUCCUGAGGCGUUUAUAAGAAGGGCGAUCUAUUCAAUAGGUGACUUGUAUUCAGGUUAUGAUCAAUUUCAACUUGCCGAAGGAAGUAGAGAUAUAACGACAAUGAGGACACCACUUGGAUUGGUUAGAAUGUGCACUCUUCGUCAAGGCGCGACCAACUCAGUUGCACAUAUGAUGAAUGGAAUGAAUAAGGUAUUGAGAGAUUUUAUUCCGGAAAAGACUAUGCCUUUUCUAGACAAUGUUCUUAUAAAAGGGUGCAGAGAAGGAGACAAGGAUGAAACUUUAGAUAAGAAGGGGUGUCACAAAUAUGUUGUUAAUCAUAUACAAGAUUGUGAGAAGAUUUUAACUCGGCUUAGAGAAGUUCAUCUUACAUUAUCGAGUAUGAAGUCCGUAUUUGGAAUACAAGAGGUUGUAAUUGUUGGACAUUUAUGUGGAUCUUACAGAAGAAAACCAGAUCUGACUAAAGUUGAUGCAAUUGGAAGGAUGAAAGAGGAUUGUGAUUCUUUAACAGAGGUUCGUAGGUUUUUAGGUGCAUGUAUAUUUUAUCGAAUCUGGAUCCCUCAUUUUGUUCAUACAGCGGAUACAUUAUAUGAACUGUUACGCAAAGGCUACGAAUUGAAAUGGAAAGGAAGGCAUAUUCAGGCAAUGCAAAGAUUGAAGAAAUUAUUGAUGUCACCUCCAAUAUUGAGGAAGGUUGAUUAUAAGUGCAAUAGACCAGUGAUUCUUACUAUGGACACUAGUCCAAUUGCCAUUGGAUGGACUGUGGAUCAAGAUGAUUCAAGUGAGAAUAGAUUUGUAGUUCGAUUAGGAGCUAAAGUUUUAAGAAUUGAUGAGCGUGCAUAUUCGCAAGUCAAAAGAGAACUUUGGGGAGUUGUUUCGGCUAUAAAAGCUGAAAAGGACUAUUUUAUUGGAGUAGUAGUAGUAAUUGAAACAGAUUGCUUGCCAUUGCUUGGAAUGAUUACUAACUGUUCAACGCCAGAUAUUGCAAUGUUGAGAUGGAUUGCUUAUAUUAAGUCACUAAAUCUAGAAUUUAAGCAUGUUACUGGGAAGGACAAUUUAGUAGAAGACAUGCUAUCUCGAGCAAGAUACGAGAGGGAGGACGAAAUGGUUGAAGACAUUGAUGAUGUCGGAUUGAAAUUCUAUUCAAUAUCAAAUCUCAAUAGAGAAGACAAGCUAUUUCUUGAAGAAUCUUAUGAAGGAGAAUUAUUGGAUAUUGGUCAUUACUUGAAUACCUUGACUAAGCAAGGGAAUUGGUCUACAAAAAAAUUCAAACAAAUAAGAAAAAAAGCAUAUGGAUUUUUGCUUCAAGAUGGAUUCUUAUGAAAGAGACCAAAGAAAGGAAUUGGAAUGUCACAACGAGUGAUAGGCAAAAAGGAAGAAAAACUAAAAUUAUUAUAAGAGUUUCAUGAUAGUUUAUGGGCAGGGCAUAGAAGAAUCUGGGCUACUUUUGCUAAACUCAAGGAACGAUAUUGGUGGAAAUAUAUGUAUUGAGAUGUGCUCUCAUUUGUAGAGUCAUGUGAAAUCUGUCAAUCGUAUUCUAAUAUCCGACAUCGAGAUGGUCUUCAUCCUACGUAUCCUUUGACUAUUCAUUUUAAAUGGGUUGUUGAUUUGGUUAUUAUGCCAGUUGGGUUAUGGCAAAUGAGAUAUUUGGUUUUAGCUCGUGAAGAUUUAUCAAAUUAAAUAGAAGGAAGAGCAUUGAGGAUAAAAUCUACACAGGGAAUUUGUAGGUUUUUACUUGAAGAUGUCAUUUGCCGCUACGGAUGCAUAGGAAAAAUCACUGCAGAUCGUGGAGAAUUAAAUGCACAAGAAGUUUGUAAGUUCUUUGAAAGAUGUGGAGUUAAACUAUCACUGACUACUGCUUAUAAUCCGGAAGAGAAUGUAAAAAGCGAACGCGGUCACCCACCGAUUGUGAAAGCAUUAGUUAAAGCUUGUAAUGGAAAAGUUAGAGAGCAGCCACGGCUUUUGUCAUUUGCAUUAUAGGCUGAUCGAACAACACAUAGUUCGGUUAGAGGAUAUAUGCCAGUAGAACUUAUGACAGGUCGAAAACCAAUUAUGCUGAUUGAAGAAAGGCUACUUACUUGGAGUAUGCUACCAUUGGAAGAUGGAUUGACAAGAGAAGAUCUUCUGGCUAUUAGGAUUCGUCAAUUGGAGCAAAGAUCGGAAGAUGAGCAGAUAGCAUUAAAAAGGUUAAAAAGAGCAAGGUUACAAAACAAGGCGCGAUUCGAUAAGCAACAUCGAUUAAGACCUAAAGUAAUUGAAGGAGGUGAUUGAGUACUUGUUUAUGAUAGUAGUCUGGACAGCCAAUAUAGCACUUUAUGGAAGUUUUCAAAACAUUGGUUUGGACCGUAUGUGGUAACAACUGUUCAUGAUAAUGCGACUUAUUCAUUGCGGGAGUUAGAUGGCACAAGGUUAAAAAUACCAAUUGCAGGGAAGAGAGUGAAAUUGUUUAAACAAAGAAAUGUAGAAAUAAAUAUUGAAGACCAUAAUGAAGACAUAGAUACUCCGCAGUGGGAAGAUGAAAUUGAUUUGGAUAGCAGAGACGGUGGAGAUGGACUAGACUAAGAUUUAGAGAACAUAUUAUGAAUCAAACGACAACUAGGUUAAUUGGUGCAUAAUGGAGGAUGCACAAGUUCGGAGGGGGUGGAUGUCGUAUUGUAACACGUCUAUAUGAUGAAAAUAUAAAUGAAGAAGAUUUAUUAAUAUUUAGUCACCUUCGAUGUUAAAAGCGGUGGCCAAUUCCAGUGCAAAUACUGAGAGGUCAGGUUCAGUCACCCCGUUUCAGUCAACCGGGACAUAUUCACCAGUAACAAAAUGCUCCAUUCGAUUUGAAUAAUGGGAGUCAGCAGAAAGGGAAAGGACCAAUUCAACAACGGGUGAGUCUGGUUUGAAGAGCCAAUUAGAUCCAAUUUUAGAAGACUUCUAAUCCAGGUCCUAUUACUGGCCUCUUACCCAUUAUGAGAUCUAACUUGGUCGAGCAACUCAAUGUGGUCCAAUUACGGGGCUUCGAUUCCGUUUCAGGCUGUUCCAUUCUUUGUGCCAUUCCAAGAACGUCCUUUCGGUAAAAAGAUCUCUUAAACGUAAAAAUGGGGAAGAAAGCUCCAUUGGCUGUUCCAAUUCAGGGAGUCCAAGGUAGAAGAAUAGGAUCUUCUCAGGGUUAAAGGAGAGGAUAGGUUAAGAAAUAAAAGAGGGGAGAAUUAAGGUUUUUAAGGGUCAGAGAGCUAGCUUCAUACUUCGUGGAAAAAACAGAGAAUUGGGGUUUUUUUUCUUCAUAUGGUUUUGGGAAGACUGAGGCAAUCAUUGUUGAAAGUGAUUGUUGUAUUGGUGAACUGGAUUUUUUUUCCGAAAGAGAAAAAAAUCUAAUACUCUUUAUUGUUGAUGGAAUGGGAGAUAUUUCUGUGGUUGAAAUUCAGAGUUGUCUAAGAAGGUUGAGUAUGCUGAAUGCAUUCGUGGUUGUGUUAAUCUAACUGUAUGGAUAGAGGAUAUCUGCCAACAGUUUAAAGAGGUAUUAGGAGUUGGCAAAUUGGGAGAUUGUUCAGGAUUUCUAUGAUAACUGAGGACCUACCGACAGGGAUAAGAGGAAUAUCAGCGAG
RNAcentral lists this long non-coding RNA (17465 nucleotides) under Physcomitrium patens. RNAcentral describes it as "long non-coding RNA (PPAT_LNC010950)". The record is from RNAcentral. Lineage: Eukaryota; Viridiplantae; Streptophyta; Bryopsida; Funariales; Funariaceae.